GUGACAGCCCUGCAGAGUGACAUCCCCAUUUAAUCCACAGCACAGGUACAGCGUGGCAGCAAAAGUGCAAGCUUCCCUCUGCGCUUCCCCAGUCAAUGACUCAGUCCUGAGCCAGAGGGACCAUGUCUAGGGUUGAAAGGGUACUUUGUCCAUGGCUCAAUCUGCUCUUGAUCUGCC
RNAcentral lists this small RNA (177 nucleotides) under Sphenodon punctatus (tuatara). RNAcentral's name for it is "TUC338 (ENSSPUG00000005489.1)". The record is from RNAcentral. Lineage: Eukaryota; Metazoa; Chordata; Lepidosauria; Sphenodontia; Sphenodontidae.